Molecule: non-coding RNA, 85 nt
Filed under: Bacillus sp. OK838
Lineage: Bacteria; Bacillati; Bacillota; Bacilli; Caryophanales; Bacillaceae
Description: GEMM cis-regulatory element
Rfam family: c-di-GMP-I riboswitch aptamer
About the family: GEMM was predicted in a large-scale screen for bacterial structured RNA regulatory elements. Genes associated with GEMM are involved in a diverse array of functions, including chemotaxis regulation, signal transduction, secretion and chitin.
Source: RNAcentral
ACACGACAAAGGCAAACUUAUUGGAAGAUUAGGGCGCAAAGGCACAGGUCUAAGGUUUAGCGACUACGAUGGCUGGUCUGCCUGA